CUCUUAUAUGUGUGCUGGUGUUACUUCAUCUUGUGAAAUUCAAAUAGUCCUUGAGGACAGGCUUCAUCUUCCUCCAUAAAUGUGCAGGUCCCGGCUGGUACACCAGAUACAUCCUAGUAUACUGACAGUUCUACUCCCUGCCUGAACUCGUGCAGACCUUGCUGGCUGUGGAUUGGAGAAAUGCAGAACCAUGGUUUAAUACCUUAAUCAUACGUUGCUUGGAUAGUGUGCAGUGAAUGGAGUGGUGUUAAAGCCAGUAAAGAUACAUUUCAUGCAGAACAAAUCAUAUGUCUUGGCUCGUUAUGCAAUGCAUUGUCCUAUAGAAUUUCCUCUAAAUACACAAUGGGUUCCUAGAUAAAGCAUAAGUUUUUCUCCUCUGUAUUGUUCACUCUUUUUUCUUGAAAAAGUUAAUUAAGCAGAGCAGGCCAACAAAAUUUCUUCUAAGGAGAUAAAACUCAAAAAAAAAAAAAAAAUGAGCAAAGGGCAAAGUUCUUCAGCUUGCAUACAUCUAAAAUUAAUUAGAAAAUCCUGUAUCUAAAUCUACAAGUACAUUUGUUUCUAUCCUAGUGCUUUUGAGGUCUGAAAUGUGGGGAUACAUUUUAUAUGCAAGUACAAAAUAUGUGGCUCAAAAUUUUCUUUUUUUAACUGUAAUGGGAGUUUUUUAUAAUCUUGCACAUUAUUUCAAAUGUGUGAAUUCCAUUCAAUACAAAAAAAAAAUCCUCUCUAUUGAAACUGUUCUAAUCUAAAGCAUAAAACAACCCUUAUACAUAUGAAAUACUUGUUAUUAAACUGCUAAAAUAUAGCUGUUUUGUGUAGAGCAUACACAGAAACAGAAUUCAUUGGUGGUAGCAAAACUAGAGGGCAUUUCUAUUUUAGCUGAUCAGCAUCUAUCUCCUUGUGACGUAGACAAAACUAAAUUAAAAUUAGCAACA
Long non-coding RNA from Cygnus olor (mute swan), 932 nucleotides. RefSeq lists it as uncharacterized. The record is from RefSeq and is a predicted model, not a curated record. The transcript has 3 exons. Lineage: Eukaryota; Metazoa; Chordata; Aves; Anseriformes; Anatidae.